GGGGCUCCCAGGGGUUGGAACAGCAUGAGCAAAGGCAGAGGGGUUGGAAGAUGUCUGGGGGUCUGCAGGCAGUUUGGAGAGCAGGCAACCCCAGGCCAAGAUAGAAAGUGGCCAUUGGGCCAGCGCCUCCCAGAGCCAGAGAGGGGAGCUCUCAGCUGGCAGGACGAGACCUGUCCACCGGCACUUGGACCUUGCACACAAUGGGGCCUGCCAUGGCCAGGUUCACCAAGUGGGCACUUACCUUGCCUCUUCCCUGAUUAUUUCUCAUCCUUCUGAAACUCUCCCCCUGAAAUCCCAGCCUGGCCUUCCCCCAGCCUGCAGCUGGGCCUGUUAUUUUGCUCCAAAAGCACAGCAGAGUGCGGCUCCUUACUCGAGGAAUGCAGGCCGCGGUCCUCCGAGGGGAUGAUGAAACAGGCUAUUUCUGCCCCGGGACAUCAGCAGGCCUCCGGGCGGGUGCUGGCUCCAAGGCACCCACUAUCGUGUUUUUUAACGUUUCCCUAAACAAAUGUUUUCCUUCGCACCUUGGGAUAUUUGUAUUUGAAUCUAGGUGCUGAAAUAGCUUUAAGAAAUCAUUCUGGAUGGAAGCUGGACUCAUGGUUAGGGUCCAGCUCAGCGGCGAGCAAUUUCUCACUCCCCAAGUUAUCUAUUACCAGCGGCCGAUCUGGAUGUAAAAAUAGCUGCUGAGGCUGUUUGUUUAAUCUGACUGUUACUUGACACCACGCGGGUGUUGCGAUGCGGACUGUUUGCCUCUUCCCCACCAAGAACACCAUUUGGUUUCCCCCAGCUGGGUCUCUAUUUAGGUACGCUUCAUGAACGUCCAGUGUCUGGACAACUUCUGGGCACUGAUUUUCCCCAGGUGGGCAGGUCUGUGAGAACUAAGGGGUGUGGGUCUUGACUCGGUCCCUGGCUCAUCUUUGGACAGCCCAGAGAAGGAGGCAAGAAGUUUCGGCGGCCAUGCAGAGCCGGGCUGCUGGAGGACUCAGGGUUCUCUCCGGUUCCGGGCAGGCCUGAAGAGCCAGCAGCUGGGCCACGCGCAGAGCGGAAGGUGGAGGGAGAGCAUGUUCUCAGUUGACCUCGGCUCUCAGGUGGAAGACUGAAGACCACUUGGUGCAGAGUGCAUUCCCUUCCAAGCCUGCAUCAGUCAGCCUUGGAGAGCUUGACCACAGAGUUGGAGUGUCUGGGAAUCUGACAGCAAGAGGGUCCGAGGAGCCAAUCCACCAAUAGUAGCUUUCUCCCCAGGACCUGACAGACAGACCUCCCUUUCCUAGUAGGAAAGGGCAAGGGACUCUUCCGGACCACAGCACGUGAAAGUGGGGAGUGGCUGUGUCCUCCGUUCUCUGCAUGGCAGUCCCUCAAGACUCUGGCCCAGAGAAGGUGAGCACAGCACAGAUUCCCCAGGGGCCUGGAAGGGCUUCCAAAUCCCACAGAGAUGCCUGCGCGUGCUGCCAGCAGGAGCCCAGGGGCUCUGCCACCUGGAUGCUAUUCCCUGCCUCAUUGGGCCCCUCCUGUCCCUGAGGAGCCCCUUCCAGGGAGGGCUUGAGCUUCGGACGGGCUGCAAGGCUGAGCUACCAGAGGAAUUUCAUCUCAGCCAUGCCUUCGCCUGGAGCUUAAGGCAAGGGGGAGAGGAAACGCCGAGAUGUGCUUGAGUGACCCCACUCCCUGCUGACCGCGGAGGCCGGUUUCAGGCCUUGUGCCUCAGGGUCCUGCCUGCCUCAUGCUGGAGAUGCCCCUGGGUCUGCCCUCUGCAGGGGCAGCCUGGCCACAGGCAGCACCAACAGCUGGUCCCUUCACCUGGCCCUGUCAACCCCUCUCUGAGCCGGGUCAAGCCUAACGGCCGCAGAAACCAAAAAACCAGAAUUCAAACCCACUGGGCUAAAGCCACCGACUCAGAGCCACUUCUGUCCCUGUGUGCCCACCGUUUUCAUCAGGGCCAUCCCUGGCUCCCUGACUCCCGUGUGCAGAGCGUUUUCAUAGGUUGUCUGGGGUUUACUGCUGGGCUCAUCCAGCAUGGUAGGUCUGAGGAUCUCCUUCGGGAAGGCAGGCACUGCAGCUUAGAGACGUUCAGUAAUCUGCCCCAGGAUGCACAGCUAAUGAGGUGCUAAGAUGCAAACCUGGGACCGGAGUCCAAAGUUCAUGUCCAAAAGAGUCUCGACAAGGAGGCCAGUCCACGUACAAAGAGUCAAAACUUUCCUCAAAGAAGCCAUGCACGCCCAGACAGCCUCCUCCCCUUAGAGCCUCAGAGGGUCCCUGCUGCUCCCGGAGACCCGCGGAGGUGCUCAACAGGGGCUCUGGGGAGGGGCAGAUCCAGAGUCACAGUCCAGCCCCACCCUUCUUAGCCAGCCCCUGGGCCUCAACUUCUUCCUCUGUAAAAUGGGAAUACCAACCAUUGGGAAUCCAUCUCAAGGGCUCCUCCAUGCAUUAACUGAGCAAACAUAUGAAAAGUACCAGGCACAUAAUAAAUAUGACGACUGUUCUCUCAACUGCCCUAUUUGUCGGGUUUUUUCUCUCCUGCUUAAACUCCAACGUGGAUCUUUCCCUUCCAGAGGUCCCUAAAGAGAAACCCCAAUGCUUCAGGGCUCAGCUGACUCAUGUUCAUCGCUCAGCGGUAAAGUAGCUGGCUUCAUGGAGGACUGACCCGUCCUCACAGUGACCACUGGACAUUCACACAUCAUUAUUACCUAACCUCAUAUGCCAAAUAGCAUUAUGGAUCUGUACACUGUUAGCACUCGGGGUGGAGGACUCAGCCCGAGAGGGGAAGUGAUGUUCCCACUCACACAGCAACGUGGGCAGAGUCUGGGUGACUCUGUGCCCACCGACAUCAGCCAGCACAUCCUGCUCUGCCCCACCAGCAACCCCCCAGGGGAAAGAAAGGAGGUUAAAGCUUUACGUAAUUUUACCUAAUUUAAAUUUACCUAACUUUAACUUACAUCUCAAGCGCAAGGGUAGGAGUCUAAAUUAUAACUGAGCGAGGAGGUUUUCCCUGAAUUGCUUCCGGGUGACUGCCUGGGAGCUGCAGACCCAUCGUUUAAGGGGAACGCCCUGUAAGCGCCAUCGCUGCAAGAAGUUAGCCAACAUCCCGUCUAAGAAUGAGGGAGCUGAGUGGCUUGCUAAGGCAGAGAAACCAGGCGGAGAGGGCACACACGAGGGCGGAUCCCAGGAUAGGGAAGCCCUCUCGGCACGCUGGUCAGUCACUGCCUUGCUUACACUGGCAAAAGGCAAUGUUGUCCUAGUGACCCUCGUGCCCCCGGCCCUAAGUGAGGCAAGAUGUGUGCUGGGGAGGAUAGCGACAUUUACGGACAGCUACUCGGGGCCAGCCACCUCACAGACACAAAUUCAUUAGGUCCUCACAAUGACCCCAUGAGGCAAGUACGACUGUUAGUCUCAUUUUACAGAUGAGGAAACCGAGGCACAAAUAGGGUUUAUAAUUUGCAGAGGGUCACUCAGAGCUAGCAUAACCAGGAGCUGUGCCCAAGGAGAUCUGGCAUCAGUCCAUGCCCUUCCCACUCUGUUAUACCGCCCCCCUCUGGGGAUGAGAAAUGAUGCCAGGUGGCAUUUAGUGAUCACCUACUAUGUGCUUCACACACAUGCGAUCAUUUAACACACUCAGCAAUCCUGUUGGAGGAUUCAAAUCACAGUGGUAGAUACGGGAUUCCUUCCCUGCGCUGUCUGCUUCAAAAACCCAAGGUCUCCGGAGUGCUGGAAGCUUCCAUUCAUUGAGUCCUUAUACUGUGUAAAUCUCCUCUGGGCUCUUGACAUUUUUUUUUUACCCCCACCCUUCACAACCACCCAAUGAGGUGGGUCUUGUUGCAGCUGAAGGAUCGGAGGCUCAGAGAGGGGACGUAACGUGUCGCGGUCACACGAGGCUAGGAAAGGGGAGCCCUGGUCUGACUCCAAAUCUCGUGCUCCUUCCACCGCCCUCUGUUUGGUGCGCAGUCCGGACCAGGAGCUCAUGCACACACAACAGCCAAAGCUCUCUUGCAGCUGCCUUCGAACAAGCCCUGCCCCAUGAGACCUCUCUCCUUCCACCUCCUGGACCCGCAGCUUGCACUCACUUCUGCCUGCUCUCCCCAACUAGGCGAUGGUCCCUUGAAGAGGGCAGCACUUCUGAUUCACGCCUGCACCCCACACACGCACAGCCUGCCCAGAGCCAGCCUGGAGCAAGGCAGACACAGCCCAAACCACAGUGGCAGACAGCCGUGGGGCCCCAGUGGCCCCAGAGCUUAUGGCUUAUCAGUACAACCUCCCAAAAAGGGAUACAGCCUCCAACCUAGGGCGGCGGUGCUCCAAGUGUGGUCCCAGGACAGGCAGCACCAGCAUCCCCCCUGCCCCACCCCGACCUCCUGCGUGGGCAUCUCUGGGGUAAGGCCCAGCACUCUAACAAGCCCUCUGGGGCCUUCAAGAAGAACCACUGGCUCAGAGAAGGAAAGGGGACAAGGUCCCCGUGUUGUUCUCAAACACAGUAGGAGAUGCUCCAAGAAGCUGAUCUUUUCACAUCAACUCAAGCUGUAAUUUUAAAUAACUUUGCCUGUUGGAAGAGCCUAUCUCAGUGUUCAUUUUUAGAAGGAUAACCUGGGUGGCCACAUCUGAAUUAUUUUUCUUGCCACUGUAAAGCGUCCCAUAAGGAAUUCCAUGAAGAAGGCAGGAUGGUUGUCAGGCCCCCGCGGCAGGAAAGUUGUGUCUCCUUCCCUGGAAGAGCUGGGCUCUCCGCUGUCACGACCCUUGGAGAAAGGACAGGUGUCAGCUCCCAAAUAGACAUCUCCCAUCCAGUUCCAGCCUCCAGCAGGAAGUGAGAAGGCCAGGGACAGCCGGGCUCUGACAAGUGUGUGCGUGUGUGUGUGUGUGUGCGUGCGCGUGCGCGCCCUCAUGGGGUUUAGGAAUUCCUGGGUUUAGGACUUCCCUGGUUCUCCAUGUGAGGCCCCUCCCCCAUCCCAGAAAGUCAUGCCCUCCUGGCUGUGCAGGGACGAGGAAGAUGGCACCCUCCAGUGUGCCUCCUGAAGGACCGCCAGGUACAACAGACGCCAUCUCUAGCUCUGCCAAAGCAAAUGGUCCCUGAUGGGAAGAGGAGAGCCACUGAAGGUAGAAGAGAAGGUGCUAAGAGAGAAGCUGCUGCCCCCUCCCCCCGCCCGCCACCCGUGGACACCAUGGCAGAUGGAGACACCCCCAGAAACCCAGAGCCUCGCUCUGCCUUGGCUGCAUAGGAAGCACAGAGCCAUGUAGCACAGACCCUUGAGUCUGAAUCCCAAUGCUGGUGCUCUCUGGCUGUGUGACCUUGAGCGAGUUGCUCAACUUCUCUGACCCUCAAUUUUCCCACCUCAAAUUCCUUUGGCACCAGCCCUACCUAACUUGCCUCUGGUUGUGAUCCCUGAGCAAGAUCACAGAUACCAAGUGCGUGGCAGGUGGUAGGAGCUGGAUAAACGGGAUGGACACCUGGAACUGCCCAGCAGGGAGCUGGGGCUCAGUGAUGGCUCUUCCAGAUCUGCUUCUCCGCCUUUGCCGCCCAGCCCCACAGGGCCAGUUUACAGAUGGGGAAAUGGGGCACACAGAUGGUGAGGGGAACACUGUAGCGCCCCUGACCCUGCGGUCCGAGCACUCUGCCCAAGCCCGGGACACUCCAGGGCCGUUUUCAGGGGGCAGUGCCUAUCCCCAAAUGUCUUGGCUCACUUCCCAGGGGCUGGAGAGAGGACAGGUGCUGAGGGACACCCCACUCCCAACAAACCCAAGUGUCUCUUCCCCUGGGACCCCCUGAAGGGGCUUCCUCUCUGGACAAGGCUCUCCAAGGUGGAGUUCAGGCCGUUGGUUACAAUCAUUUCUCCCUGCAAGACCCACUUCAUGAGCCACAGUACUUUGCGAGUACCAGGCUGCUGGGUUCCCCUGCCCAUCAACCCCAGCCUACAAAAAGGAGACGGAGGCUCAGAAAAGUGGAGUGACUUGUCCCAAGUCUGUCUGACUCCGAAGCUCAUAAGCAGAGAGCUCCUCCUGCCAGUGAGGGCAGGGCAGGAUUUCACGGCCUCUGCAUGGGCUCUUGGGGGUGAUGGGGUGUGGGCAAUAAGCCUGUGACCAAGGGUCUUAGGAUGAGCUCCAAGGAGACUUGAGGGUGAAAACCAGGAGUGUGGGGGCUGCAGGUGGCCAGGGGUGGGGUGGUCCUGAGCAGAGUUUCUCAGUGUGCAGGAGGCAUUUCAGAAGCUCCUGGAGGCACCCCUUUAAACACAGGUUGCAGGCACCCUUUCCCUCUCAGCAGCCCUAGGUUCGAACCCUAUGCCCUCAGGUAGUAAACUUCCCUGGACUCCAGGUUCCUCCUCGGUAAAGAACAAGAGUAAUCUCCACCUCGCAAGGCUGUUGCAAAUAUUAAUUACAUAACAAUAAACAUAAUCAAUAAUAUUAGAGUA
Leptonychotes weddellii (Weddell seal) is the source of this 6386-nucleotide non-coding RNA. The record is from RefSeq and is a predicted model, not a curated record. NCBI's taxonomy places the organism in Eukaryota, Metazoa, Chordata, Mammalia, Carnivora, Phocidae.